This 72-nucleotide transfer RNA is filed under the name Bacteroidales bacterium. RNAcentral describes it as "tRNA-Arg". It matches the Rfam family "tRNA". From Rfam's summary of the family: Transfer RNA (tRNA) molecules are approximately 80 nucleotides in length. Their secondary structure includes four short double-helical elements and three loops (D, anti-codon, and T loops). Further hydrogen bonds mediate the characteristic L-shaped molecular structure. tRNAs have two regions of fundamental functional importance: the anti-codon, which is responsible for specific mRNA codon recognition, and the 3' end, to which the tRNAs corresponding amino acid is attached (by aminoacyl-tRNA synthetases). tRNAs cope with the degeneracy of the genetic code in two manners: having more than one tRNA (with a specific anti-codon) for a particular amino acid; and 'wobble' base-pairing, i.e. permitting non-standard base-pairing at the 3rd anti-codon position. RNAcentral also lists the same sequence under 1 other name. Lineage: Bacteria; Pseudomonadati; Bacteroidota; Bacteroidia; Bacteroidales. The record is from RNAcentral.
GGCACGGUAGUUCAAUGGAUAGAAUAGAAGUUUCCUAAACUUUUGAUCCGGGUUCGAUUCCCGGCCGGGCCU